UGGGGAAUUUUGCACAAUGGGGGAAACCCUGAUGCAGCGACGCCGCGUGAUUUAGAAGGCCUUCGGGUUGUAAAAAUCUUUUCUAUGGGAAGAAAAUGACAGUACCAUAGGAAUAAGGACCGGCUAAUUACGUGCCAGCAGCCGCGGUAAUACGUAAGGUCCGAGCGUUGUCCGGAAUCAUUGGGCGUAAAGGGUACGUAGGCGGGUAAGCAAGUUAGAAGUGAAAUCCUAUAGCUCAACUAUAGUAAGCUUUUAAAACUGCUCAUCUUGAGGUAUGGAAGGGUAAGUGGAAUUCCUAGUGUAGCGGUGAAAUGCGCAGAUAUUAGGAGGAAUACCGGUGGCGAAGGCGACUUUCUGGCCAUAACCUGACGCUGAGGUACGAAAGCGUGGGUAGCAAACAGG
This 402-nucleotide ribosomal RNA is filed under the name bacterium. Its description in RNAcentral is "partial 16S ribosomal RNA". It matches the Rfam family "Bacterial small subunit ribosomal RNA", at positions 355 to 776 of the family's 1533-position model. The record is from RNAcentral.